ACUCACACGGCAAUUUAAACAUCCUGAGAGGAUCACUUUACUGCUGGAAUGUGAUACCCGAAGAAACAAUAGCUUUCAUGCAACCUGUGGUCCUUAACAAUUAGUGGAGGUUCUCUUAUAGUGAUCCACAUCGAAGCUAACUUGGAGUUAUGCACAGUGUAGAAAUCUUUAGAUGUCAACAAACUUAUUUCAAUUUGGGAUGUUAAAAAUAUUUGGAAGAUUUUCAUGAUUAUUUAGUGUGUAAAGUGCUUUUCAAAAACAAGACUUUGCUGUCAGCAACAGAACACUUUGAAUGACUCACUGGCCAGAUGCUAUAAGGAAAUCUUUUUGCAGGAGAUCUUGAAGCUUUACCAACCCUAGAAGGAAGAUUGUGCCAUAGAUUGAGUCUACACUAAUAGUAUUUCAUUUAGAAUAAUAUUCAGACCUGAACAACCUAAGUUUUGAAAAGUACUAUAAAAUAUUGUGAUGACUUCUCUCGACCUUGGAGUUAAGGGAACACCUUGUGGAUAAAGUCUCUGUCUUAGGUGAAAAUGAAAUGUAGAAGAAGAAGAAGCAGAAGCAGAAGAUGAAGAAGAAGAGGAAGAGGAAGUGGAAGAGGAAGAGGAAGAAG
Molecule: long non-coding RNA, 610 nt
Organism: Pteropus alecto (black flying fox)
Lineage: Eukaryota; Metazoa; Chordata; Mammalia; Chiroptera; Pteropodidae
Exons: 5
Source: RefSeq, a predicted model, not a curated record